RNAcentral lists this ribosomal RNA (258 nucleotides) under uncultured bacterium. RNAcentral's name for it is "partial 16S ribosomal RNA". It matches the Rfam family "Bacterial small subunit ribosomal RNA", at positions 793 to 1055 of the family's 1533-position model. The record is from RNAcentral.
GUCCACGCCCUAAACGAUGAUAACUCGAUGUGUGCGAUAUACAGUACGCGUCUAAGCGAAAGCAUUAAGUUAUCCACCUGGGAAGUACGACCGCAAGGUUGAAACUCAAAGGAAUUGACGGGGGCCCGCACAAGCGGAGGAGCAUGUGGUUUAAUUCGAUGAUACGCGAGGAACCUUACCAGGGCUUGAAAGUUAAGGAAUGAUGUAGAAAUAUGUCAGUCAGCAAUGACCUGAAACUAGGUGCUGCAUGGCUGUCGU